RNAcentral lists this ribosomal RNA (253 nucleotides) under uncultured bacterium. RNAcentral's name for it is "partial 16S ribosomal RNA". It matches the Rfam family "Bacterial small subunit ribosomal RNA", at positions 524 to 776 of the family's 1533-position model. The record is from RNAcentral.
GACGUAGGGCGCGAGCGUUGUCCGGAAUUAUUGGGCGUAAAGAGCUCGUAGGCGGCUUGUCACGUCGGGUGUGAAAGACCGGGGCUUAACCCCGGUUCUGCAUUCGAUACGGGCUAGCUAGAGUGUGGUAGGGGAGAUCGGAAUUCCUGGUGUAGCGGUGAAAUGCGCAGAUAUCAGGAGGAACACCGGUGGCGAAGGCGGAUCUCUGGGCCGAUACUGACGCUGAGGAGCGAAAGCGUGGGGAGCGAACAGG